RNAcentral lists this non-coding RNA (25 nucleotides) under Mus musculus (house mouse). The record is from RNAcentral. Lineage: Eukaryota; Metazoa; Chordata; Mammalia; Rodentia; Muridae.
UGAGCUGUCUGACAUGAGUGCAUGG